UCCCAACAAAUCCUAAGAGGUUAAGUCUUCUCCAUUUUCUUUACUUUUCUAGCUCUCAGUCCCGACGUGGGUCAAUUGAUUCUCCUCAGCACCAACCUCUCUCCUCUUUCUCUGCCUUGGUAAGGUGAGCGUGGACCAAGCACCAAGUACAUCUUUUUACCACCUUUCGACAACAAUAAAAAGGUAAAACAUUUCUAAAAUCUCCAAUAAAUUAAAUAACUCAAAACU
RNAcentral lists this long non-coding RNA (228 nucleotides) under Gossypium raimondii (Peruvian cotton). RNAcentral describes it as "long non-coding RNA (GRAI_LNC010900)". The record is from RNAcentral. Lineage: Eukaryota; Viridiplantae; Streptophyta; Magnoliopsida; Malvales; Malvaceae.